This 620-nucleotide ribosomal RNA is filed under the name Micrococcus sp. EK-A10. Its description in RNAcentral is "bacterial SSU rRNA". It matches the Rfam family "Bacterial small subunit ribosomal RNA", at positions 52 to 686 of the family's 1533-position model. The record is from RNAcentral. Lineage: Bacteria; Bacillati; Actinomycetota; Actinomycetes; Micrococcales; Micrococcaceae.
AMCAUGCAGUCGAACGAUGAAGCCCAGCUUGCUGGGUGGAUUAGUGGCGAACGGGUGAGUAACACGUGAGUAACCUGCCCUUAACUCUGGGAUAAGCCUGGGAAACURGGUCUAAUACCGGAUAGGAGCGUCCACCGCAUGGUGGGUGUUGGAAAGAUUUAUCGGUUUUGGAUGGACUCGCGGCCUAUCAGCUUGUUGGUGAGGUAAUGGCUCACCAAGGCGACGACGGGUAGCCGGCCUGAGAGGGUGACCGGCCACACUGGGACUGAGACACGGCCCAGACUCCUACGGGAGGCAGCAGUGGGGAAUAUUGCACAAUGGGCGMAAGCCUGAUGCAGCGACGCCGCGUGAGGGAUGACGGCCUUCGGGUUGUAAACCUCUUUCAGUAGGGAAGAAGCGAAAGUGACGGUACCUGCAGAAGAAGCACCGGCUAACUACGUGCCAGCAGCCGCGGUAAUACGUAGGGUGCGAGCGUUAUCCGGAAUUAUUGGGCGUAAAGAGCUCGUAGGCGGUUUGUCGCGUCUGUCGUGAAAGUCCGGGGCUUAACCCCGGAUCUGCGGUGGGUACGGGCAGACUAGAGUGCAGUAGGGGAGACUGGAAUUCCUGGUGUAGCGGUAAAU